CAUGAUUUAUUAUUAUUAUUUCUUUUAUUAAUUUUAUGUAAAAGUUGAUCUACACAGAUAGGUUUAACGAAUUUAUUACAUAAAAUUUCACUUGUUCUAUUUUUAUUUUCUUUGCAUAACAAAUCCUAUAAACACAAAAAUAACGUAAAUAGCUCAAAAAUAUAAGGAACUAACUAAGAAAAGAUGAGUGAAUUCGAAGUAAAAAUAUAUAUAAAUAUGAUCCGAUCAACGUGACACAAAUCAAGCAAAGGAAGCUGAAAACUUCCCCAAAAUUCGGCAAAAGGGGGAAGAAAUCCUUUAAAAUCGGCAAAGGGCCCAAAUUGCACCAAAAGCCGGAAAGAAAGCUAAAACAUCUUCACAAAACAAGCAAGAAUUGAAGCUUGCUCACAAAAUAGGCAAAAAAGCCCUAUAAUUUGGCCAAGCAAGGGAAAAUGGCUGAAAUUAAGACACAAAACAUUGCUAAAUUCUCCCAUGGUCAAGACACAAAUCAAAGCCAAAUAUGUGACAACCCGUCCCUAAAAUUUUGUCUUUAUUUAUUUUAAUCGAGGGAAUUGACGAAAAUGCCGUAAAGGCAAGGAUUUUGACUUAUGUUGACCAUCGUCUAGAGGAACGUAUGACCUAUUCUUUUGGCAUAUUUGUGUAAUACUCGUUGGUACGAACACAUAGACGAAAGUCAUUCGUGAGUCCGGAUUAUAACGGUAUAGUUACAAACAUUUGAAGUUGUUUCGCUAAAUUAUAGAUUUAAAGGAAAAUAAAUCCCACCAUGUGGGAAUUGUAACCAAUUAGAAAUUAGGGAGGAAGGAGUGGACCAAUUAGACAAAAGGGCAAGGGACCAAUUCGAUGAAGAGGAGGGCAGCCAAUCAAGAGGGAGAAUCCCCUCUUCCCGUGCACUCUAUGAACCCAGGAACAAGACCCAACCAAUGGUAGAGACGUUGGAACACCGAGGAAGGAGAAUCGAAGUUCACCCAUUUUAGGGUUCCGGCGGGUUUGAGUGAAAUUGGAGCCUUUUUCGGCCAAAUUGGACUUGGUCAGAGGUGAGGAUCGUUUGUGACGUCUCGAUAUUUGUGCUAGAGAGUCGUAGCGCAUACCUCAGGUGAAUGGGCAUUUUCCUUUUAUCGUAUAUAUAUCAUUGGUAGUUCCACAAAACGCUUUUAAAUUGAUUUAUGCGUUUUAUGCCAUGUCAUAUAUAUAUAUAUAUUUGUAUAUUCUAAAAUACUACGAUAUGGUUGAGUUUUAGAUUGCAUUAUGGUAUAACCAUAUGCAUAUUACCUACAUAUAAUUGUUGUGAAUGCCUUGAAGUGCUAAGGUGAACGUAGGACGUACAGGUAAGUUCAGGUUUAUAGUAUUAUUUGAAAUGAUUGAGUUAGGGCAUGACUAUAUUAGUGUUUUGUGCAACUCCGACACUGUCAUACAAGUUGCAAUGAUAGGCAACUCCGACCCUGUCGUACAUGUUGCAAUGAUAGGCAACUCCGACACUGUCGUACUGGUUGCCUAUGAGUCGUACAUGUUGCAUUAGGCAACUCCGACUCAGGUGUUAUCAUGGAUUGGUUUAUGAGUCGUACAGGUAGCAUUAGGCAACUCCGACUCAGGUGUUAUCAUGGAUUGAUUUAUGAGUUGUACAGGUUGUGUUAGGCAACUCCGGCUUGUGGGUUACCAUAAAUUGAUGAGCACUUGAUUUAUAUUGUUGUUGCUGAUAUGUGGUGAUUUAGAAUAUUAUCGGAUUUACUAUUGAUUUACAUUUGAUUUCAUACUUAUAUGUAGUAUGAUUUUCUGGAACCUAUACAGGUAUUAUAGCGAGAGGUUAUAUCGUUCAAAAGGUCUUUAUUAAAGUUUUAUAUUCAGGCCCACUCACUCUUGUUUUUAUCCCUCCAGGUUCUAUUAGCAGAGUUUUCGUAUCGACGAGGAUUCAUGACAAGUCUUGGUAUUGAAGAUUACCUUCGACGGUAUGAUUUUCAAUCCACUCUACUGUACUUUACUUAUGCUCUGACAUCACGUGUGAAAUGGGGUCAUUCCCGCUCAAAGCGCACCCUCGUGUUUCCACAUCACCACACUUUAUGGCAUAGUCACCUUCCAAGUGUCGGCCAUCACAUCUCAAUUCGGAGUCCUAGUGGACAACCCGGGUCGGGAUUUGUCAGUUUGGUAUCAGAGUAUAAGUUGGGUAGUAUUGCGUUCAUCACACACAUGACGUAAGAAUUCUUGAUUCUUGAACUUGAUUUCCGAAUCCUACCACCUCAUCGAAUACGAAAAAUGUGUUAGUUUUCCUAAGUUUGGGCAGUUUGUCGACUUGUUGACGUUUUAGCAGAUCAUUUUGGUGAAUGCCUCUAAAUUAUAUGGGAAAAAUUUCCCUGCCAAGGAAAGAGGUAGAUUUGGGAUGAGUUAAUGGUUCUGAAGCAGGGCUACUAUAUUGAUAGUUAUGUAUCUCGUCGGAGAGGGGGGGAGAAUUGAUAGGAGAAUAUUUAUGCGACUUAGAUAACAUGUUUUCUUGCAUUUACUUAGUUAGUUAUUGCUUAUAAGAGUGUUUUAAGCUAUUUUCGUGUGUUUGUAGGUCCUAAUAACAAAGUUGGAAAGAAAGUGCAUUUUGGUGCAAUUUGGAGUAAUUUUGGGCCAAAAUGGAUUGCAUGCAUAUGGAGCAAGUGGGAUGGACGUUUUUGGUGUUUUAAAAAAGGGUUUCAACACAUGCAAAAAUCUGAAUAAUGAAGUUGAAGUGUAGAAGUGUGCAGAUACAUACACUUAAGGAACAAUUUGAAAGGAAAAGAAGUGAAAGAUGCCAUUUGUUGGAUUGCUUUACAAGAUGUAUUCACAUUUUCAGCAACUACAAACAUAAUUGCAAGCUGAAAUGAUGCAUAGCAUGUGUGUAGAGGUGUAAAGUGGCCGAAAGUUGAUGUUUGCAAGAUGAAAUGAUGCAAAACAUGUGUGUGAAAGUUGUCUAACAGCUAGUACAUGUGGAAAAAGGAUGGAAUACAAGGCAAAUGCAUCAGAAAUUGAAGAAUGAAGGCACAUGGACAGCUACAAAGGAGUUGAAUUAGCAAGAGAGGAAUGAUUGCCUUUUGUUAAAGGCAAGACACAAUGAUAAAAGAGCAUGUAAACUAGUUGUUUUUGCAUCAUUUUGGUCUUUGUUUGUAUUGUUUAUUGAAGCCACUUGAGUGAUUCUUUGCUUUGGAGCUUCUAUAAAUAGGAAGUGAAGGGAAGAACACUACACAUUACACUACAUCAAAAACACAAUCAGCCACACCACCCAUUCUCCAUCCAUUCUUUUAGCCAAACCUAUCUACACAUUCAUACACUACGUCACAAACACAUUUUCAGCCAUCUUUCUCUCUUUUGCCACACCCCCCAUCCAUCCUAAACACCACCAUACCAUCUCCCAUCCAUUCCUCCGUACAAAUACCAUCCAAACCUGUCCCCAAAACCUUGUGCCGCAUCAAAGAGGAAAGAGGAGAAGCCUUGGACGUGCAUGCCAUUCAAGUUAGGAUCGUUGGAGCGUUUAGGUGUUUUCUUUCUUUUGUUUUCAAUGUCUAAAUUUGUUUAUCUUUGCUUUGUAAGUAUGAGAAACUAAACCCCCCUUAGCUAGGGGGGAAUUCGAAACCAUGUUUAUGCUUGCAAUAUGAUUUGAUUACUUCUAAUUGUGUUUCAUAAGUUGUGAAUUCAAUUUACUUAUCUAUAUGAAUUAAAACUGAUUUGUGUGUGUUGGUUGAGAGUGCACGCUUAAUUUUCAUGCAUAAAUCUAAUGCUAGGAUAUAAGGGAGUUUUACCUAAUCGUUAUGAACUUAUAUUCACAAGUAGUAAAGGUUGUUAAUCACAAUCGCGUUAAGUAAAUUCUUGGCAUAAGUUUCAUGCAAUUCAUAGUAACAAGUGCCUCGUCAAUGCUUAUGAUUUUCAUAGAAUUUAAUGAUUCUUGCUUGUAUCUAUAUUAUGCAAUUCAUGUAGGGAACUUGUGGGGAAUACUUUGGGUUGUCGUAUGCAAUCAUCCAAUUCAAUAACUUUAGGAAAAUCUGAGGGUUAAUUAGUGCAAUUCACGGUUAAUCUGGGGGGUUGAGAAUUCAUGGUUUAUUGAAAAGCAAUUGGAAAUCGUUUUGUAUGCAAGUGUGAUAUGUGUGGAGAAGAACCUCCUAGCUAGCCUUCCAUCUAAAGGGAAAUAAUGAGAUUUCAUGUGGGAUUUCUAGUGACUAGCAUGCAUAUACAAUUCAAAAUUUAUAUACGAAAGCAACGGAAGCAUAUCAACAUAUAUUAUCAAAGCUAUAGUCAUGUAA
RNAcentral lists this long non-coding RNA (4250 nucleotides) under Malus domestica (apple). Its description in RNAcentral is "long non-coding RNA (MDOM_LNC018322)". The record is from RNAcentral. Lineage: Eukaryota; Viridiplantae; Streptophyta; Magnoliopsida; Rosales; Rosaceae.